This 13034-nucleotide long non-coding RNA is filed under the name Mytilus galloprovincialis (Mediterranean mussel). The record is from RNAcentral. Lineage: Eukaryota; Metazoa; Mollusca; Bivalvia; Mytilida; Mytilidae.
CACAAUCAUCCUUUUAAAAUAUUAACUACCUGGCUGUGUGUCUCGUUAUGAAGAAUUCGGUUAAUAUAGCUGUCGCUUUACUUUUCCUGAGAUUUUAUUCAGGUGAUACUGGUAAGUAAAUCUAUUUUUAUUUUCAUUGACUUGUAACUUGAUGAUCACUAAGUAACUAGCCGUUAACAUGGUUAAGACAAAACUAAACCUUUCAGUAUGGGUAUGCGUUUGAAAAAGACAAAAAUAUAGUAUGUAAUCGUUCUAAAGACAUGAAUGUAGUUUCAUCAUCUGCAUUCAUGGAAGACAAUUGCAAAAUUAAUAUUAUAGCACAAAAUACAUGCAACCGACCAGUUAGAAAACACAUUUUUUCUACCGCAAAAUAAGUGACAAGUUUGUAUGACAUUAGCCUUAUUAUCAUACGCGAAGCUUUCAACGUACAUCUUUAUCAUGAAAUCGAUCAGAUAUUGAUAAAAUUGAAAAUGGACAUGUGGAAUGUGUCAAAGAGACUAUAACCCGACAUAAGAGCAGACAACAGCAGAAGACCACCAAUGGGUCUUCAAUGUAGCGAGAAACUCUCGCACCCGGAGGUGUGCUUCAGCUGGCCCUUAAAAUAUAUACAUGUACUGAUACUGAUACUAAGUUCGCCUGUAUCGUGUCCUAAAUGCAAACUUACCAAAGAGUUCUAUAAAAAGAUCUAUUGUUCAAUCAAGAAAGAAAUAUCAUAUACUUAUUAAACUACAUAUCAUACAGCCCAUGAUACUUAUGUUACAAAGAGGCGAAGGAAGGGCACCUGCCCUCUCCCCUAUAUCCGCCUCUGAAAUAUAAUACACAAAUGUAUUGUGUAAGAAAUAUCACACUACUUUAAACAAUUCAGGAAAUGUUCAUUUAAAUACAUGGACGGACAUUUCUAUUCUUUUUCUUCCGUUAAUACCCAUAUUAUUCUCAUAUUAGUAAUAACAAGAAAACGUAAACAAAUGCAAUACCACAUGACAGUGCCGAUGGCUGGUUUAAUUACCAUUAAUAUUAUAUUGCAUACACAUUAUAAUAAACAUCUUUAUAAUGUCCUCAUAUAAAUAUAUAAAUAGUUUAAUGAACACACACACUUAUGUAAAGCAAACCAAUCUCUUAAUGCAUGAUACAAAAUGUUAGAUAACAGAAGUAUUUAAUAAAUUAACGUGACCGAUCGAGGAGUCCUUGUCGUGUCGAAUGCAUGAUUUAACUGCCAAAUCAGAUACAACACAUGACCUAAAAAACGCCACCUAUUGGCAGAAAAUUAAUAAGAAAAUAAUUUCAUUCUAAUUCUUAAAAUCAACCGAUUGAAAUUAUAUUUGUACUUCCGUUAAUACACAUAUAUCAGAACCUAAUAUUAUUCUAAUAAUAAUAAUAACAAGAAAUAGUAAAGUGCAAUACCACACGACAGAGCCGAUUGCCGAAACACAAAGAAAGGGAAAACUUUGAAGAAAGUUUUAUAUCAUGCAAUAAAAGAAUUAAAAAUUAAAGCAAUAAUCUGUAACCUUAAAUUAUUGGACAUUUUAAGUAAAUCAUCUAAGGAGUCAUAAACGUUACCAUCUUUGGUUGUUUCGGAACGCCAUUUAACGUGUCUCGUCAAAUAUGGUCUGGUAAACCCACAUUGACACAAACAGUAGCACCUUAGACCUCAAACUGUGCAAACAGAAAGCUUCAAUAAAGAGCUCACGCAUCCUGGAAUACGACAAAGGUGUAUUCGCUAAACGCAAAACAUAGACAUCUUUACAUUUGGUCAAAUUUCGACAAAUAAACACAUCAGAAUCGCAAGAAAUAUCAGCUCACUGCAAAUAUGAUUCCAUGUUUUUUUACUGGACACUUAUUUGAAUGUGUACGGGCAAUUAAUACUGAAUUGCCAUCUCUAUAUACAUCUGUUUUACCAUGUUGAAUGAGAAUUGAUAUAUAACACUCUCAAAUAACUAUGUUACUUAUUCUAAUAUUAAGCAACUCAGAAACUCUUAAAAAACCUGCAAAUGCAGUUAAAAUCGCACAAAAAAUAUGCUGAUUAUACAAGUUACCAAAAGAAAACAUGGAAUCAUACAUUUUAUGCAGCAAUUCUACCGAAAUAGGUUCUUUUUUAUUCUUCGAAGUAGACAAGCUUAGUGUUACACCUUCUAAUACAUAAAUCACUAAAGACGAUCAGUCGGUGAACAUGAUGAUCCAAUAAGAGAAUGUAUCCACUUUAAAGAGUAAAACGCAUGAAGAACUGGACUAACAGUAGUGCUCGACUGUGUCAAAAAAGCUAGAUAUAUUGCAACGAAAAACGCUUUAGCUUAUAGAAUGUCACCGUUUUCAAUUCGUCGUUUAUCGUCUUAAUAAUGUGAUAAUGUGUUCUUAUAUAUGUCGUUGUUAAAAAUUAAAUAACUGUUUAGUAAAAAAAAAAUUUGGACGUUUGCUCAAUAUUUCCCGUCAUUAUAUAUUUGGACUAUUGUUAAUGUCUGUAUUCUUGUCUUUCUUUUUUGGAUUAUGCAUUUUGUUUUCUUCUUUGUUGACUAUUUGUUAUGUUUUAUAGUGAUUAAGAUUAUUAAAAUCAGGUUUAAUCUACUAUUUUCUACAUACGAAAAUGUCUAAACCAAGAAGGGAACAUGACAGUUGUUAUCAAUUCGUAUGGUGUGUUUUAACUUUCGAGUUUGCUAUUUGAUAUACGACUUUCCGUUUUUUAAUUUUCUCGGAGUUCUUUGUUCUUUCAAUUUUUAAUGUGAAAUUAAUUUCUCUUUCGUCCUGCCAAUAUUGCUCUGAUGAAUGAAGUGAUAUUUUGAGUACUCUAAAAGAUUGUGCAUUCGCUGUAAGCAAGAACAUAGAUAAAACAAUGUGUUUUAACGAAUGACGAAGACAACAAUGGAUAAGCAGACAUAUAUAUUGGUCAAAGACAACUGUUUGUCUUAAAUAUUACGUCGUGUAAUCAAGUCAUAUAUAUUUUAGUGGUUAUGGUUACUGAUCAUGGGACUGACGCAACUAUGCCAUGCAAUACAAAAAGUGGUAUCUUUCAAUGGACAAUGUUAAUUGGUGAUUCCUACCAGAAUCUUCAAUCCUCUUCCAAGUACAGUUUUUCCGGAAAAAAUCUUACAAUACGCAACCUAAAUCAAGACGACAGUGGAUUUUAUCAAUGUGUGAUAUUUAGAAGUGAUGGCAGUGAAAGUGGAAGAGAAACUCCAAUCGAAUUGGUGGUAACAGGUUUGUUAUAUAAAAAUAACAGUUUAUGCGUUAGUUUAAUUUGAUAUCUUUAUUGAAUUGGUUAAUCUAAUUGUCGUCCGUAGACAGUGUAAAUAAACUCAUCAUAGAUAAAAUAUCCUGAGUAAGCCAAAGACAUUAAUACACAAACAAAUACAUUAUAGUCAAAAUAGACAUUAUUAAUAGCAAACAAUAGUAGUAAUAACACACUUAAUCAUAAACAAAAAUAAAAAAUUAUAAAAAUAUAUAUAACAAAGCUCAUUCAGGUAUCAUAAAAGGUAUAAACAUGUACUCGACGCUAAGGUUGACAAAUAAGAAAAUAAUAAGCCAGUUUGAUUUGUUACUUUAUAAAUUACGAUAUCAAUCACAAAAGAGGGACGAAAGAUAUCAAAGGGACAGUCAAACUCAUAAAUCUAAAACAAACUGACACGCAUGUAAAAAUGAAAAAGACAAACAGAAAACAAUACACACACAACACAAACAUCUAAAGAAUAAACAACACUAACCCCACCAAAAAACUAGGGGUGAUCUCAGAGGCUUCGGAAAGGGUAAGCAAGAUCCUGCUCCACAUGUGACCCGUCGUGUGCUUAUUGAUACAAAUCCGGUAAAUAGUUAAUUUCGGUAGGUCACAUUCAUGAAAGGAGGAUUGUAGUUACACGUAAGGAACAUAUCUAUAUCAUUUGGAUGAAACGGUUAUUCCAUAACAGUUAACCAACUCGUGAUGGCGUCGGUAAAAUUUACGAAGGGAUGAUUUCAACUUCACCAUUUGGAACUCUUGGUUUAAUAGCUUCCUUGUGAGCAGUAACCAAAAAAUGCAUAAAAUAUUUGUAACUGGAGGAUUAACAAACAUAAUUCAAUCAAGCAAAACCAACACAAAGUUCUGCAGUCCGCAUGGUUUAUUAUUUGCAGAUGACUUCAUAGAUUUCAACUGAUUUUAAGUUUUGGAGUUUACAACUCAAUACGGGUACCCCUUUCUCAUGCACAUCUAUCCGCCGUCGGCCGAAUUUCAUAAUAUUGUUUAAUAAGUUGGUUUUGCAUUGUGUACUAAAAAAUCUGAUCAUGGCUAUAUACCCUUAAUUAAAUGUCUUUGAGAUUUGUUUCUGAUAUAUUACUCCUUUUUUCUCGUCUAUCAUGAUUUUAUAUCUGCUCUGCUACUCCGUCGCCUCCUGUCAGUAGUUGACAAAGAUAAAAAGAAAGACAUAUUAUGGGGUAUACUAUUUUUAAUCUUCCCAGAAUAGUUGUAACGGAGUAUUUUGUCCAUAUGAAGGAAUAUUUAUAUUGGAAUUAUCUAGGAUAGAGAUUUUAAAUUUAUGGUUGUUGUAGGACAUAAAAAACACAUAUAUCAUUACUAUGCAGUUUAACCACAUGAUUUAUUUGAUACACCUUUAUUGAACUUUUUAAAUCGCCUUUAUGUUUUCAUACGAUACACACAUUUAAAGGAUAAUUUGUCAAACUAUGGCCGUGUUCACAUUGACCUAAACUCGGUGUUGUGUUAGUGUAACUCACACGUAAAUUACACAAUUACGAACCUAUUGAUAAUACUCAAUGUUUACAUGUAGUUUAAAUCAUGUUUUGUCUACAUGCAGUCGAUAGUCAAUGUAGGCCUUGUGUAGCUAUAGGUUAAGUGUACACAAAACUAGGCAUUUAAAACAUUAAUUUAACCAUGUAUAUGUAAGGAAGAAACGAUUUUUGAAUAAAAUUGAAAAUAACAAUUAUUAAUAAAGUUCUUUACAGAAAUAUUUGUCUAAACUUGACAUAUCUAUUUGUUAUGAAAAACCUUUACGUACCUUUAUUAACCUCUUAUUAUUGAUUCAAGACUCAAAACAUCACCUUUGCAGAACACGCAAUUCAUUUAGAAAAGGUCUUCCCGAAUCGACUAGACGUACACAGAAAUAUUUGUAACUGGUCUUUACUCAAACAACGAUUUACUCAUAAAUGCAUUAUUAAAAAAAAGUAUGAGGUAAAUUGUAUUGUUUGUCUAGUAUCUCUGAUCCGUUAAAAUACACUAAGAAAUAAUAAUAAAAAAUCAUUACCCCCUCCGGAUCCCUUUGCCAAAUACUGCUUCUCCUUGGAGAAGAAAUUUCAUUUGAAACAAACAGAAAAGAUAGAAAUGUAGUGAUCCUUAACAUCUCAAUCCUUCAUCUUCGUAUGUAAGCCACUGCUGCAGCCUACAUUUUCUAAUGCGUAACCGAGACAUCUUUAGUAGUAAAUCAUUAAACUGGCUUUUGUAAUAAAGCAACCCCACUUAACUUCAAAAUGGGGGAGGGUGUAAUUUUUUUUCUGAUAUUUUUUUUCGCGCGAACGUUUUUAUUCAUUUUUUUUACGAUGCUAGCAAUCUAAUAAUUUUUUUCAAUAUUUUACACUAUAAUGUAUGGGGAAUUUCUGUAUUCAGAAUAUAUCUUUUCUAUCAUCUGUAUGACCAGAAUAUUUUUUUUUUUGUGAACACGGCCUAAAUCGAGUAUAUAUUACAUGUUUAGUUUAAUGCGUUCUUGUUUUUUUAUUUUUUAUAAUAGUUUGGGUUUAGUUUGACAACAGGGUUUAUUGACCUCUUCCUAAUUACAAUAAUUUAAAUUAAGUUAUAAUGGUUAUAAAUCAAAUAAUUACGUAUUCAAUGUAUGUUGUGUUAAUAGCGUACUGUCCGUAAAAUUCAGAGCCCGUUAUUAGUUUGUGGUACGAUUUUUUUUUAUUUUUCUGAGAAAAACAUUACUUUUAUAUUAUGUAUAACACAAGAUUCCUACAUUUGUAUGCACAGUUGUGCAUUCAACUUUUAUCUUUUGGAUUUUAAAUAUUUAUAAACAAUGUACGUCAGAUUUGCGAGACUAGGUUUGUUCAGGGAAAUACCUGUUCCUUUUAAAACAUGGGUCUUUUACUUAUUUGUUUAUUUAAAUAUUAAAUUUAAUAAGCUUAUAGAACACAAUAUUGCGUAUAUCUUACACAUUAUUACUGUUUAUAUUCUCAUUUAUUCAUGCAACGCCUCGCAAACGAAUGGAGAUAAUUGUUGGAAAGGUAUACAUUUUACACUUAAAACAUAUAGUUAUACUCAAAGCUAUUAUAAUUUGCUAUAAUGAUUGAAAACCCUUCUUGUACGGAAGCCAAUUUUCAAAAAUAUACUCUGAUUUCUAGGUUAUGAAUAAAAAAUCGAUGUUGCAUUCUGAUUGUAUACGCGAUAACGAAUCUGACUAAUAAGUUACCUCACACAUGUAGAUCACGAAUUUCCUUUAUUAUAAAUGUAUGUGAUUGUCAUACACGAAUUAGAUCCGUUAUUUUGUAUUAUAAAAAAAUGAGAUUCACUAAUUAGAAUUCGUAAUUAAGUUUUGGGAGGACUUUAAAAAGGGGCUGUCUGAUUCUAUUAAACACAUUUUGCUAAAUUUGGGAUUUAUUGGGGAAACAUGUAUCGCAGCUUUAUAGGAAACACUUGUAAACAAUUAUACAUGUACAUAUAACUAAGUUAUCUUAAUUAUACAUGUACAUAUAACUAAACUAAGUUAUCUUAGAACGACAUUAAGGUGUCCUAUUAUUACCUGAGCCUUUGUACUACUUUUUUUUUACAUUGAGAUUGUCAUGCACUUUUCGACUAAAAUCCUUAGAUUUAUUUGUCAAUUUGUAAUUGGCAGGCAACCAACCAACCAACCUACCUACCAACCAACCAACCAACCAACCAACCAACCAACCAACCAACCAACCAACCAACCUACCUACCUACCUACCAACCAACCAACCAACCAACCAACUUAAAGUGGUAGAAUCAAACAAAACGUCCAUACCAUAACCAUAAUACCAACAACCAUACAUACAUACCAUACAUACAUACAUACAUACAUACAUACAUACAUACAUACAACAUACCAUACAUACAAUACAUACAUACCAUUACAUACAUACAUACAUACAUACAAUUACCUACAUACACAUACCUACAAAGAUACAAUAAUACAAACAUUACAUACAUACAUACAUACAUACAUACAUACAUACAUACAUACAUACAUACAUACAACUACAUACUACAUACAUACAUACAUACAUACACAUACAUACAUACAUACAUACAUACAUACAUACAUACAUACAUACAUACAUACUUACAUACAUACAUACAUACAUACCAUACAAUACACAAGAACAUACAUACAUACAUACAUACAUACAUACAUACAUACAUACAUACAACCACAUACAUACAUACAUACACAUCUACAUACCAUACCAUACCUACAUACAUACAUACACUACCUACCUACAUACCAUACCUACAUACCUACCAUACCAUACAUACAAUACAUACUACAUACAUACAUACAUACACAUACAUACAUACAUACAUACAUACAUACAUACAUACAUACAUACAUACAUACAUACUCACACUCACAUACAUACAUACAUACAUACACAUACAUACAUACAUACAUACAUACAUACUACCAUACAUACUACAUACAUACAUACAUACAUACAUACAUUACAUACUACAUACCAUACAUACAUACACUACAUACACAUAACAUACAUACAUACCAUACAUACAUACAUACAUACAUACAUACAUACAUACAUACAUACAUACAUACAUACAUACAUACAUACAUACAUACAUACAUACAUACAUACAUACAUACAUACAUACAUACAUACAUACAUACAUACAUACAUACAUACAUACAUACAUACAUACAUACAUACAUACAUACAUACAUACAUACACCAUACAUACAUACAUACAUACAUAACAUACAUACAUACAUACAUACAUACAUACUACAUACAUACAUACCUACCAUACCAUACCAUACAUACAUACAUACAUACAUACAUACAUACUACAUACAUACCAUACAUACAUACACAUACAUACAUACAUACAUACAUACAUACUACAUACAUACAUACAUACUACAUACAUACAUACAUACAUACAUACAUACCUACAUACAUCAUACCAUACAUACCUAUACAUACAUACAUACAUACAUACAUACAUACAUACAUACAUACAUACAUACAUACAUACAUACAUACAUACAUACAUACAUACAUACAUACAUACAACAUACAUACAUACAUCCAUACAUACAUACAUAAUACAUACAUACAUACAUACAUACAUACAUACAUACCUACCAUACCAUACCAUAACCAUAAUCAUCCACCUACAUACAUACAUACCAUACCAUCCACCAUACAUACUACCAUACAUACAUACAACCAACCAUAAUUACAUACCAUACAUACAUACAUACAUACAUACAUACAUACUACAUACAUACAUACAUACAUACUACAUACAUACAUACUACAUACAUACAUACAUACAUACAUACAUACAUACUACAUACUACAUACAUACAUACUACAUACAUACAUACAUACCAUACAUACUACAUACAUACAUACAUACUACUGUUACAUACAUGAAAAUCAUUUACCUACCUACGUACCUACCUACAUACAUACAUACAUAUUCUUGUUCAUUGAAAAUCAUUUAUGUAGAAAUAUAUACUCAGAUAUUUAUGUGUGUCUACCAACUUACCUUCAUACAUACAUACAUGAACUUACAUUCAAACAUUCCAUUAUUUUCAUAAAAUAUAUCUUAGUAAAUGGUGGAUGGUCGACAUGGUCAUAUUCUGAUAUAUGCACAGUAACCUGUGGCAUUGGGACACGAACAAAGACACGAACCUGUAACAAUCCCCCACCUCCAGGAAGUGGUUCAAAUUGUCAAGGAUUUAGUUCUCAAUUAGAGAGUUGUAAUUUCUUUCCAUGUCUAGGUAAGUAAUAUUAAAAAUUUAAUUAAUAUUAUCAAUUUUAAUUGGGUAAACAUAGAAUUUAUGUACUGAAAACCAUGAUGAGACUAGCUUGGACGCUAGUCUCUACUAAGCACAUCCAUCUUUGAGAGAAUAAAAACAUAUUUUAAUGAGCUGAUUACUGUUUACGUUUAUUUUUCAAUGAAAUAUAUACUCAUAGUGAAUAUACAGUGUGGAUCAUAAAAUACUCUUGUCACUGUAUAUGCCUUAGAUUUUUAAUUUAGAAUAUCAAAUGUAUACACAAAGAAAAAAGUUAAGCACCCCCACGUUUUUUAACAUUGACAAAUAUUACGAUAAGGGACAUGGAAUCCUUGGACAAUUGGUGCUAUACUUAGUAAUGCAGACUGUAAGGACAUAACAUUAGCUUUAAGAAAUACACAACAAAUUGCAACAAAAACGAUAAUUUAAUGAAUAGAUUCUCACAAAACCACAAGUCCAGUUUAAACACUAAAACGUGUCCAUUUUAUGUAUGGACCUUCUGAGUUCGUUAUGCAUGAUACUAAUGUCAUUUCACUUAGAAAACGUCCAUUACAAAUCUGUUUAUGUUAUCCAUAGUUCAGUAUUCAAUAUCGGGUGAAACCACCACGUGAUUGGAUACAGGCCUCAACCCUGCGUCUCAUCCCUCCAAUUAGUCGUCGGAUUUCCUGCUGUGGUAUUUGCCGCUAUUCCCGGUGCAACUCUGCUUCCAACUGACGUAAAUUAUGUACAGAUGGUUCGGUUGCCAGACCCGACGGCCUUACGUGUCCCAAAUAUGCUCUAUUGGAUUCAAAUCCGGGCUCAUGACAGACCAUGGAAGAGGAGUUACUGCUUCGCCUUGCAGAAAUGCGAUAACCCCCCAUUGAACGAUGCGGCCUAGCGUUGUCAUCCAUAAACACUGGUCUUGCAGCUACAUGUAAUGGGUAGUUAUCAAAAUGAGGUACAACUACUGGCCGAAGAACGUCACUGAUGUAUUGAUCACCAUUAAGGUUUCCUCGUAUAAUGACCAAGUCCAAUUUGCAUUCAUGAGAGAAGCGUUCCCAUACCAUCACAGAGCCUCCACCGUAAGGGACAGUUGCUUUGACGUUCCUUAGGUUAUGUGCUGUAUUUUUAUGUCUCUAAACUCUCAAUCUCCCAUAUGUUACAUGCAGAAGAAACUGGCAUGUCUGACCAAUGGAUCUUGCGCCAGUUCCUCAAGUUCCAACCACGACGAGCUAAGCACCAUGCCAACCGCAGUUGUUGAUGUCGGUGUGUUGACAUGGGACGUCUUAUUACCCUCCUUGACUUCAGUCCUGCUGAUUUCAACCGGUUCCUCAAGGUUCUGGUUGAUAGCUGUCUAUAAGGUUACUAUUCUCUUUAAAGAACAUGACUUGCUGCGAAUGGCUUUCGUCUAACCAGGCGUUCCAGUGCCCUGUCUUCACGCUGCGAUGUAACCAAUGGUCUACCAGAUCUUGGCAAGUUUUUAACGUGAUGGUUUGGAUGUGUUUCCGCACAAGCCUGCUGACUACAGUAUAAUUGUAGCCCAUCUGACGUCCAAUAGCUUUAUAGGAUAACCCUGCCGACUGCAUGCCGAUAAUCUGCCAUUUUUGAGCCUCCGAUAUUCGUCUUCGUACCAUGUUCACAGAGUGUAGAUAAAUGUUUCAAAUCGCCGGCUUUAAAUACUCAAAUUUGAAGCGCGGUGAAACUGCGUUUUGUAAUUUGAUGUGAGGCAUGGUUCACGUGCAUUAUACGUCGAUAUCUUAAUAAACCGGUCAAACCUGUAUGGUCAUAUCUUUUUAUAGGAACAUUGAUCUUGUUAAAAUCUAUAUUUAUAUUCAAAUUAACAUUUUGUUAAAAAAAAUGUAUUUUAAUAUAUCAGGGGGUGCUUAACUUUCUUCUUUAUGUAUACAGUCCGCCAAAAGUUAAGCACCACCGAAAUAUAACUGGCAAUAUUUUUUUAACUGUUGCAAAACAAAUAUUAAUUUUUGGUGUUAUGAAUUACCCCUAACAUACACUAAGAAAAUUCAUUACGACAAAAAAGAUUGAAUUCCAAUAAACCAGUCAAACAACCUUUUAUCAGAGAUCAUUUGUGCGUUUACAAAUACACUGUUUCUCCAGGUGGUCGUUUUAGUAUUCGUACAUUGGUCCGUCGACUUCAUAGCGGCAAACGAAGAGCAAGUCGUGGUGUAUAGAGACCUGUACCUUCAAGCAGGCAUUCUACCGUCAGGUUUAAAUGGGAUAAUGACCAUCUAUGCUUGAACAUAAGAACCUGACAAAACACUCAUUGAUCAGAUGGGAGUCAGUUUCCUUUCCUGCCAGUAGACGCCAUAAUACGAAUUUCGCAGGGGGAAAAACGGCCUAUGACCAAAAACAAUUUUUGCACAAGGACUGCAUUCAUUGCUGGUAGUGUUCCAGUACGGGGUUGCUUCUUAUACCGUUAUAAGCUGGGUAUGCGUAUUUUGCAGGGUAACAUAAACGGACAGACAUACAGAGAUUUGGUGCCUUAACACAUUGUAGUCCGUCAUUUUAAUAAUCCCCCACUUGCGUCAACAUUGUCAAGACCCUUGUACCUGAAUAACAACGCUAUACCACACAGAGCAAGAAUGUUAACCGAGUCCAAAGAGCAAUUAGCCAAUUACACUGAUUUUUGGCCUUCCUUGACUCCAUACAUAAACCCUAUCAAACAUGCAUCAACUCAAAAUGGUAUUUGAAAAAGUACUUUCCAUUUAGGAUUUUCCUUGGAGUUCGGUAUUUUUGUUAUUGAAUAUGUUUAAGCGCUAUAUGUUGCUGUUGAAAACAUGUUGUAGCACAGUCAAAGCUAGCAUGUUAAUGUCAAGUUUACAUCGCAUGACAUUGAUAAUCAAAAGAAUAAGUUUUGGUCCGAAAUUCUUGCAUAUAUUUUCUGAGUAAACAAUCACCUUUAUAUACAUUUUCAUAUAACAAAACUCAAAAUGUGGCAAAAUUUGUAAAAUUCGUGAUUAUGAGCUAUCGUUUUUGAACAUAGUCGCUUUGUACAGGUAAUUGUAAAUUGACUUUAUUUAGUAUUUCAAAUAAACGGGAAAUAGUCAAUAUCAUUCUAAAAAAAUUGAAAUAAUCGUAGUUCGUAGGUAGUAGUAUGUAAUUCCUGCCCCGGAAACAAGCUUUUACAAUACUUUUUCUUAUUCCUAACACAAUUUUGAAUAUGAAUACAUCUUUUGUGAAAGGUUCUAGUAAGAAAACUCUUUACAGUAUCUUCAAUGACAACUGAAACACACCACAUCAGCUGAAAAAAUGUUCCAGGAGGCAUGCUGCAGCAGGCCAUCACUAUUAAAAAAUGAAAAAUUAACAAAGGAUAAAAAAAUUAUUAAGAUUGACAUUACCCCAUGAAAUAAAAAAUAUGAUUUUUAUUUUCAGCGUGAGCAUGAGUCCAGCAAACAUUCUGAAAUCAUUUUAACAAUUUUAACAACCUACAAACAGGAUAUGUCCAGUAACAACACUUUAAUCACUAUUUUGCUAUUUCGUGGCGGUCAGUUUUUAUACGUGGACGAAGCCUUAACCACCAACAUUCGGUAGGAUAAUUGACAAUCCUAGUCAAUAAACUCAUCAUAGAUACAAGGACUAAAUUUUAAAUAUACGUCAGACGCGCGUUUCGUCUACAAAAGACUCAUCAGUGAAGUUCGAAUCCAAAAAAGUUGAAAAAAGCGUAAUAAAGUACGAAGUUGAAGAGCAUUGAGAUCAAAAAUUCCUUAAAGUGUUGCCAAAUACAGCUAAGGUAAUCUAUGCCUGAGUCAAUUAAGAUGUGUGUCAAGAGUACCUACCACGUGGCUAGUAAUUCAGUAGUUCUGCUACGUAGAGCAUUUGAAUACAUAGACCCCAACGUCGAACACUAAGCAAAUUCACAUUAUGAUUCUGUUACUUAAAUGAUAAAUUAUAACGAUAAAGGAAUGUAAAUUAUAUUUUAUUGUGUAUUAUAAUUAUGAAAAUUACUAUAAAUACUCUCAUAUUUACAGAAUCAGGAGAAAACAAUUCAGUACAACCAUUAGUAGUUGCAACAGUCAGUGGUGGAAUAACCAUUGUUUUAGCAAUACUGCCUUUGAUUUUAUAUGCAAAAAG